RNAcentral lists this ribosomal RNA (1512 nucleotides) under Bacillus sp. (in: firmicutes). Its description in RNAcentral is "bacterial SSU rRNA". It matches the Rfam family "Bacterial small subunit ribosomal RNA". Lineage: Bacteria; Bacillati; Bacillota; Bacilli; Caryophanales; Bacillaceae. The record is from RNAcentral.
UCCCGACGGGGUGCUAUACAUGCAGUCGAGCGAAUGGAUUAAGAGCUUGCUCUUAUGAAGUUAGCGGCGGACGGGUGAGUAACACGUGGGUAACCUGCCCAUAAGACUGGGAUAACUCCGGGAAACCGGGGCUAAUACCGGAUAACAUUUUGAACCGCAUGGUUCGAAAUUGAAAGGCGGCUUCGGCUGUCACUUAUGGAUGGACCCGCGUCGCAUUAGCUAGUUGGUGAGGUAACGGCUCACCAAGGCAACGAUGCGUAGCCGACCUGAGAGGGUGAUCGGCCACACUGGGACUGAGAACACGGCCCAGACUCCUACGGGAGGCAGUCAGYAGGGAAUCUUCCGCAAUGGACGAAAGUCUGACGGAGCAACGCCGCGUGAGUGAUGAAGGCUUUCGGGUCGUAAAACUCUGUUGUUAGGGAAGAACAAGUGCUAGUUGAAUAAGCUGGCACCUUGACGGUACCUAACCAGAAAGGCCACGGCUAACUACGUGCCAGCAGCCGCGGUAAUACGUAGGUGGCAAGCGUUAUCCGGAAUUAUUGGGCGUAAAGCGCGCGGCCAGGUGGUUUCUUAAGUCUGAUGUUGAAAGCCCACCGGCUCAACCGUGGGAGGGUUCAUUGGAAACUGGGAGGACUUGAGGUGGCAGAAGAAGGAAAGUGGAAUUUCCAUGUGUUAGCCGGUGGAAAUGCGGUAGAGGAUAUGGAGGAACCACCAGUGGCGAAGGCGGACUUUYUGGUCUGUUAACUGACCACUGAGGCGCGAAAGCGUGGGGAGCAAACAGGAUUAGAUACCCUGGUAGUCCACCGCCGUAAACGAUGAGUGCUAAGUGUUAGAGGGUUUCCGCCCUUUAGUGCCUGAAGUUAACGCCAUUAAGCACAUCCGCCCUGGGGGGAGUACGGCCGCAAGGCUGGAACUCAAAAGGAAUUUGACGGGGGGCCGCACAAGCGGUGGAGCAUGGUGGUUUAAUUCGAAGCAACGCGGAAGAACCCUUACCCAGGUCCUGACAUCUCUUUGACCACCCUAGGAGGAUAGGGGCUUUCUCUUCGGGAGCAGAAUUGACCAGUGGGGCAUCAGGUUGUCCGUCAGCUUGGGUCGUGGAGAAGGUGGGGUAAGGUUCCGCAAGCGAGCGCAACCCCGUUGAUUUUAGCUUGCCCAAUCUCAUUAAUUGGGCCAUUUAAGGGGGCCGCCGGUGGCCAACCGGAGGAAGGGGGGGAAGGCGUCAAAUUCUCCAGCCCCUUAUGGCCUGGGGUACCCCCCUGGUUCCAAGGGCGGUACAAAGAAGCGCCAGGCCCCGAGGGGGAAGUAAUUUUAUAAAACCGUUUUCCAUUUGGAAUGUAGGGUGCAACUUGCCUACCAGAAGCCGGAAUCGGUUGUAAUCGCGGAUCAGCCAGCCGCGGUUAAUACCUUCCCCGGCCUUGUACCCCCCCCCCGGCCCCCCCCGGGGAUUUGUAACCCCCGGAGUCGGGGGGGUAACCCUUUUGGAGCCAGCCGCCUAAGGGGACCAGUUUUUUG